UGAAGUUGACGAGAUAAACGCGCCCUUCUUCGGACGUGCACGUGCGGAGCGCGCGAAAUGGACAGUAAACACUGCAUUACAACUGGCAUACUUGCAGUGAGUGAUAGAUGCUCCUAAGGUGAGGCCGAGGAUUCUAGCGGGAGGAACCUGGAAGCAUUGGUAGAUGUGAAGACGCUGAUAAAUGGAGAGGUUGUUGCUCGACAGUGUGUUCCAGAUGACAUUGAAGACAUCAAGAGGACACUGUUACAAUGGAGCGAUGUUGAGAAGGUCAACCUCAUCCUAACAACUGGCGGCACAGGUUUCUCAGCAAGAGACGUUACACCCGAGGCUACAAGAGCAGUCAUAACGAAAAAGGCGCCAGGCAUCACGAUUGCUAUUAUCCAGAAAU
This is a long non-coding RNA of Rhipicephalus sanguineus (brown dog tick), 388 nucleotides long. RefSeq lists it as uncharacterized. The transcript is spliced from 5 exons. NCBI's taxonomy places the organism in Eukaryota, Metazoa, Arthropoda, Arachnida, Ixodida, Ixodidae. The record is from RefSeq and is a predicted model, not a curated record.